RNAcentral lists this ribosomal RNA (253 nucleotides) under uncultured bacterium. Its description in RNAcentral is "partial 16S ribosomal RNA". It matches the Rfam family "Bacterial small subunit ribosomal RNA", at positions 524 to 776 of the family's 1533-position model. The record is from RNAcentral.
UACGUAGGGUGCAAGCGUUGUCCGGAAUUAUUGGGCGUAAAGAGCUCGUAGGCGGUCUGUCGCGUCUGCUGUGAAAACUCGGGGCUUAACCCCGGGCCUGCAGUCGAUACGGGCAGACUAGAGUGCGGUAGGGGAGACUGGAAUUCCUGGUGUAGCGGUGAAAUGCGCAGAUAUCAGGAGGAACACCGGUGGCGAAGGCGGGUCUCUGGGCCGUAACUGACGCUGAGGAGCGAAAGCGUGGGGAGCGAACAGG